This 253-nucleotide ribosomal RNA is filed under the name Oscillibacter ruminantium GH1. Its description in RNAcentral is "partial 16S ribosomal RNA". It matches the Rfam family "Bacterial small subunit ribosomal RNA", at positions 524 to 776 of the family's 1533-position model. The record is from RNAcentral. Lineage: Bacteria; Bacillati; Bacillota; Clostridia; Eubacteriales; Oscillospiraceae.
UACGUAGGUGGCAAGCGUUGUCCGGAUUUACUGGGUGUAAAGGGCGUGUAGCCGGGGAGACAAGUCAGAUGUGAAAUCUGGAGGCUCAACCUCCAAACUGCAUUUGAAACUGUUUCUCUUGAGUAUCGGAGAGGUAAUCGGAAUUCCUAGUGUAGCGGUGAAAUGCGUAGAUAUUAGGAGGAACACCAGUGGCGAAGGCGGAUUACUGGACGACAACUGACGGUGAGGCGCGAAAGCGUGGGGAGCAAACAGG